UGUCUAAGCUUGGUCUAUUUAGUUUGAGUUUUGGUAGUAGCUAUGAUAAAAUUGUUGCUGAUUUUCUUUUCGGAAAGAGCUCAUUUAAAUUGUUGGGCUGGAUUUAUGUUGUUAAGCUUGGGCUCUCUAAACUUUGCUGAUUAUUUUGAGAAGUGUGGGAGGGAGUUCGAAUGUGAUGUGGGGAGGAUUCUUAUAGGCUGAUUGUGUACUGAGAGGCAGGGGAUGUGGUGCCAAGGGCUGCAUUAUGAAGGGUGUGCAGGCUGGAAUCCCCCUUUUUUUUUUUUUUGGCAAGUUCUUGGUCUUCAAGGGAAAAGAAGGUGAGAGGAAAUCUCGGCUCCCAUCCGGCAGCACUUCGAGCAGGCCCGGAUUCACCGAUUGGGCCGACGGGCCGCCCGAAACGGGCCCUAAGUCGGGCCUGAAGAAAAGGCCCGGAUGCACUCCACAUUUUAGAUAUUUUCCCUUCCAUUGUUUAUCUUUCUUUGGGGACUUAAUCCGUGUAACUUAUCCUAUAAAUUGUUGUUCACUAAACAAAAGUCUUGUUCUA
This is a non-coding RNA of Salvia hispanica, 544 nucleotides long. NCBI's taxonomy places the organism in Eukaryota, Viridiplantae, Streptophyta, Magnoliopsida, Lamiales, Lamiaceae. The record is from RefSeq and is a predicted model, not a curated record.